AUUGAACGCUGGCGGCAUGCUUUACACAUGCCAGUCGAACGGUAACAGCACUUCGGUGGCUGACGAGUGGCGAACGGGUGAGUAAUACAUCGGAACGUGCCUAGUAGUGGGGAUAACUACUCGAAAGAGUAGCUAAUACCGCAUGAGAUCUAAGGAUGAAAGCAGGGGACCUUCGGGCCUUGCGCUACUAGAGCGGCUGAUGGCAGAUUAGGUAGUUGGUGGGAUAAAAGCUUACCAAGCCGACGAUCUGUAGCUGGUCUGAGAGGACGACCAGCCACACUGGGACUGGGACACGGCCCAGACUCCUACGGGAGGCAGCAGUGGGGAAUUUUGGACAAUGGGCGCAAGCCUGAUCCAGCAAUGCCGCGUGCAGGAUGAAGGCCUUCGGGUUGUAAACUGCUUUUGUACGGAACGAAAAGCCCUCUUCUAAUACAGGAGGGUCAUGACGGUACCGUAAGAAUAAGCACCGGCUAACUACGUG
This 481-nucleotide ribosomal RNA is filed under the name uncultured bacterium. Its description in RNAcentral is "partial 16S ribosomal RNA". It matches the Rfam family "Bacterial small subunit ribosomal RNA", at positions 30 to 507 of the family's 1533-position model. The record is from RNAcentral.